RNAcentral lists this non-coding RNA (1927 nucleotides) under Drosophila sechellia. RNAcentral describes it as "Eukaryotic large subunit ribosomal RNA". It matches the Rfam family "Eukaryotic large subunit ribosomal RNA", at positions 1552 to 3401 of the family's 3401-position model. Lineage: Eukaryota; Metazoa; Arthropoda; Insecta; Diptera; Drosophilidae. The record is from Rfam by way of RNAcentral.
AGUACAAAAAUGCCUAACUAUAUAAACAAAGCGAAUAUAAUACACUUGAAUAAUUUUGAACGAAAGGGAAUACGGUUCCAAUUCCGUAACCUGUUGAGUAUCCGUUUGUUAUUAAAUAUGGGCCUCGUGCUCAUCCUGGCAACAGGAACGACCAUAAAGAAGCCGUCGAGAGAUAUCGGAAGAGUUUUCUUUUCUGUUUUAUAGCCGUACUACCAUGGAAGUCUUUCGCAGAGAGAUAUGGUAGAUGGGCUAGAAGAGCAUGACAUAUACUGUUGUGUCGAUAUUUUCUCCUCGGACCUUGAAAAUUUAUGGUGGGGACACGCAAACUUCUCAACAGGCCGUACCAAUAUCCGCAGCUGGUCUCCAAGGUGAAGAGUCUCUAGUCGAUAGAAUAAUGUAGGUAAGGGAAGUCGGCAAAUUAGAUCCGUAACUUCGGGAUAAGGAUUGGCUCUGAAGAUUGAGAUAGUCGGGCUUGAUUGGGAAACAAUAACAUGGUUUAUGUGCUCGUUCUGGGUAAAUAGAGUUUCUAGCAUUUAUGUUAGUUACUUGUUCCCCGGAUAGUUUAGUUACGUAGCCAAUUGUGGAACUUUCUUGCUAAAAUUUUUAAGAAUACUAUUUGGGUUAAACCAAUUAGUUCUUAUCAAUUAUAACGAUUAUCAAUUAACAAUCAAUUCAGAACUGGCACGGACUUGGGGAAUCCGACUGUCUAAUUAAAACAAAGCAUUGUGAUGGCCCUAGCGGGUGUUGACACAAUGUGAUUUCUGCCCAGUGCUCUGAAUGUCAAAGUGAAGAAAUUCAAGUAAGCGCGGGUCAACGGCGGGAGUAACUAUGAGUAAAUUGUACCUCUCAGUUGAUGGUAGCGGACUCCGUGAAGCAGGCCAUUGGGGCCCGCAACACGGGUGGGUUAAUCAACCCACGCGUUUACUAACAGGAAAGGAAUAUAUAGACGGUAUUCGUCUGCGGAUAAAUGCCCUACCCACGAAGUCUCGUACUACAAGGGGAAGGCACGAAUUGGAACGACAGUGUCGUGCAGGAUGUGACGCUCCCGAAACAACAAACCAUAUUAUGCAAAAAUGUUACCGAUCGCAUGGGAGGCGCAUAGCUAGACACAACUGCGUAGUAAAUCGAAUCAAGCGGGGACUUGAGGAGAGAGGCUGCGUAGUCAUUGUUGAACCAAGUCUGCAGUGCGAAUCCGGUCUUAAUAAACCAGACCUGGUGGCACUACGACAAAAUCACAUUGAUGUGAUCGACAUACAAAUUGUGACAGACGGACACUCUAUGGAUGAUGCACACCAGCGCAAAAUCAAUAGAUACGACAGACCGGACAUACGAACUGAGUUGCGUCGCAGAUUCGAAGCCGCAGGUGACAUUGAAUUCCAUUCUGCCACCCUGAACUGGAGGGGGAUCUGGAGUGGUCAAUCCGCUAAAAGAUUGAUAGCGAAGGGUCUCCUCAGCAAAUAUGAUAGUCAUAUCAUUAGCGUCCAGGUUAUGAGAGGCAGUCUCGGUUGUUUUAAACAGUUCAUGUACCUGAGCGGGUUUUCCCGAGAUUGGACUUAGCUAAAACGUUUGGUUCAAAACAUUUGCUUGCUGUCUUGGCAUAACAUCAAUAAAGGCAUAAACAUCGCAAAUAAUGGUAAUAUAUAAAUUGGCUAUGAGGAUGGUUUUAGUACGUAGGCGUUGCGGAACUUCGGUUCAGAUAGAGCAAUGAAUCGUGCAUGCUAGGAAACUGAAGUGUUGACAGACCUAGUAUCUUUCGAUAGAUUUCCAUACCUCCGCGAUCAAAAAAAAAAAAAAAAAAAAAAAUAGCCAAAUGCCUCGUCAUCUAAUUAGUGACGCGAAUGAAUGGAUUAACGAGAUUCCUACUGUCCCUAUCUACGCGUGACGCGCAUGAAUGGAUUAACGACGGACGUGUUUUCGUUGCGCUCGU